This 168-nucleotide non-coding RNA is filed under the name Thiocystis violascens. RNAcentral describes it as "TPP sequence". It matches the Rfam family "TPP riboswitch aptamer (THI element)". From Rfam's summary of the family: Vitamin B(1) in its active form thiamin pyrophosphate (TPP) is an essential coenzyme that is synthesised by coupling of pyrimidine and thiazole moieties in bacteria. The previously detected thiamin-regulatory element, thi box was extended, resulting in a new, highly conserved RNA secondary structure, the THI element, which is widely distributed in eubacteria and also occurs in some archaea. Analysis of operon structures identified a large number of new candidate thiamin-regulated genes, mostly transporters, in various prokaryotic organisms. Lineage: Bacteria; Pseudomonadati; Pseudomonadota; Gammaproteobacteria; Chromatiales; Chromatiaceae. RNAcentral also lists the same sequence under 1 other name. The record is from RNAcentral.
GUAGGCUGCUGGGGGUGCCCUCGAUGACCCGCUGUCGCUGAAGCUUUGGUGUCUGGAGCCUGACCGGCUCAACCGAGGUUCCAUCGACAGCUUGCGUGGCGGGCUGAGAAAAGACCCUUUGAACCUGAUCCGGGUCAUGCUGGCGCAGGAAAGCAGGCGAAUGAAAUG